GAUGAACGCUGGCGGCGUGCCUAAUACAUGCAAGUCGAGCGAACAGACGAGGAGCUUGCUCCUCUGACGUUAGCGGCGGACGGGUGAGUAACACGUGGAUAACCUACUUAUAAUACUGGGAUAACUUCGGGAAACCGGAGCUAAUACCGGAUAAUAUAUUCAACCGCAUGGUUCAAUAGUGAAAGACGGUUUUGCUGUCACAUUUAGAUGGAUCCGCGCCGCAUUAGCUAGUUGGUAAGGUAACGGCUUACCAAGGCAACGAUGCGUAGCCGACCUGAGAGGGUGAUCGGCCACACUGGAACUGAGACACGGUCCAGACUCCUACGGGAGGCAGCAGUAGGGAAUCUUCCGCAAUGGGCGAAAGCCUGACGGAGCAACGCCGCGUGAGUGAAGAAGGUCUUCGGAUCGUAAAACUCUGUUAUUAGGGAAGAACAAAUGUGUAAGUAACUAUGCACGUCUUGACGGUACCUAAUCAGAAAGCCACGGCUAACUACGUG
RNAcentral lists this ribosomal RNA (497 nucleotides) under uncultured bacterium. RNAcentral describes it as "partial 16S ribosomal RNA". It matches the Rfam family "Bacterial small subunit ribosomal RNA", at positions 28 to 507 of the family's 1533-position model. The record is from RNAcentral.